GACUCCUCGCGAGACGGCCGGCGCGGCGCGACGUUUAAUUAAACGGACCGAGUGAUUUGCCCGCGGGACUCGGCCCGAACAAUACGCCGCCUAUUUGCUCGCACAAGUGUUCGAGGUCGUUCAACAUCUUUGUCUUUAAGGCUUGAGGCUAUCGCGGAGGAAAAACUACCAUGUAGGAUGAUGUUUUAUAGUGUUUCACGCGAUACCGCUGUCGGUGGUCUUAUCUCUGCAACGAACUUCGAAGCAAGAGAAUUUGAUUUCGCGGCGAACGUAACACUUUAUGUACCAGCUGUUUUUUAAUGGCCCUUUCAAACUCUUCCGUUAUGAUUUUCUCUACAGCUACCGCAAUUAGAACAUCUAUGUCCUUCGUAAUUUCCUUUGUAUUUUCUCUUGUGUUUAAACACCGAUAACAGAAGAAUAGAAUUUCGAUUCCGAUCGACUCGACAUUGGAAGGCAAGGAGGCGAAGGUCGAAGAUCAACGGACGGGAUUUUCUUUGCAAGAGACGGCGCACAUCGAUCAAGGAAAACAUCACCGUCACCGACACGCCACACCGUCACCGUCACCGUCACCGAUCCGCGCAGACGUUCGAGCAGAUUUUCUAUUUUAACGCUUCUUAACCGACCGAUAACGAUGUCCACGUCAGGUUUUUAGACAGACGUUUCGUGGACAGAUUCCACGGCAUACGAAUAAUCCGGACGAGCAAAAUGUGCGCGUGAUAUCAACGCCAACGGAUGGCACCUGUGAUAAGUAGGCAACAACGAUCGCUGCGUGGCGCUUUCAUUUGCACGUUAAUUAAAAAUAUAUAUGUUAUUUGCUGUCU
This is a long non-coding RNA of Megalopta genalis, 821 nucleotides long. RefSeq lists it as uncharacterized. The record is from RefSeq and is a predicted model, not a curated record. NCBI's taxonomy places the organism in Eukaryota, Metazoa, Arthropoda, Insecta, Hymenoptera, Halictidae.